GCUGUGUUGAAGGCCCAUUUGUGGUGUUUUUUUUUACUCUUUGACACAUUCCCCAUUUCCAGUCUCUAUUUUAUUUUACUGUUGUCAAGAUUUUUUUACCUUUUUUGAAUAAAUAAAAAUAAAAUCAAAUGGGAUGACUUAAACAUGAACGAAAUCACAUGAUAUAUUUGAAAAUAAGCAAAAUCUGAUGAGAAUGGAAUCGAAAUAAGAUAAUGCAUCA
RNAcentral lists this long non-coding RNA (220 nucleotides) under Mytilus galloprovincialis (Mediterranean mussel). The record is from RNAcentral. Lineage: Eukaryota; Metazoa; Mollusca; Bivalvia; Mytilida; Mytilidae.